RNAcentral lists this ribosomal RNA (356 nucleotides) under Chloropicon mariensis. RNAcentral describes it as "partial Bacterial large subunit ribosomal RNA". It matches the Rfam family "Bacterial large subunit ribosomal RNA", at positions 1061 to 1421 of the family's 2925-position model. The record is from RNAcentral. Lineage: Eukaryota; Viridiplantae; Chlorophyta; Chloropicophyceae; Chloropicales; Chloropicaceae.
AAGUGGAAAAGGAUGUGGCGUUGCUUAGACAACCAGGAUGUUGGCUUAGAAGCAGCCAUCAUUUAAAGAGUGCGUAAUAGCUCACUAGUCGAGUGAUUCUGCGCCGAAAAUGUACCGGGGCUAAACACACCACCGAAACUACGGGUGCCACGUAAGUGGCGCGAUAGGAGAGCGUUCUAAGGGCGAUGAAGUCAGACCGUGAGGACUGGUGGAGCGCUUAGAAGUGAGAAUGCCGGUAUGAGUAGCGAAAGAUAGGUGAGAAUCCUAUCCGCCGAAAGACUAAGGUUUCCUGGGGCAGGCUCGUCCGCCCAGGGUAAGUCGGGACCUAAGGCAAGGCCGAGAGGCGUAGUCGAUGG